GCCUUCGUGGUGUGGUGGUCUGCACGCUGGAUCUGUAAUCCAGAGGUCCGUGGUUCGAUUCCCGGCGAAGGCG
This 73-nucleotide transfer RNA is filed under the name Stegodyphus dumicola. RNAcentral describes it as "tRNA-Thr". It matches the Rfam family "tRNA". From Rfam's summary of the family: Transfer RNA (tRNA) molecules are approximately 80 nucleotides in length. Their secondary structure includes four short double-helical elements and three loops (D, anti-codon, and T loops). Lineage: Eukaryota; Metazoa; Arthropoda; Arachnida; Araneae; Eresidae. The record is from RNAcentral.